RNAcentral lists this ribosomal RNA (254 nucleotides) under uncultured bacterium. RNAcentral's name for it is "partial 16S ribosomal RNA". It matches the Rfam family "Bacterial small subunit ribosomal RNA", at positions 524 to 776 of the family's 1533-position model. The record is from RNAcentral.
UACGUAGGCAGCGAGCGUUGUUCGGAGUUACUGGGCGUAAAGGGGGUGUAGGCGGUUGUUUAAGUUUGGUGUGAAAUUUCCCGGCUCAACUGGGAGGGUGCGCCGAAUACUGAAUGACUUGGAGUGCGGGAGAGGAGAGUGGAAUUCCUGGUGUAGCGGUGAAAUGCGUAGAUAUCAGGAGGAACACCGGUGGUGUAGACGGCUCUCUGGACCGUAACUGACGCUGAGACACGAAAGCGUGGGUAGCAAACAGG